GUGCCAGCAGCCGCGGUAAGACGGAGGGUGCUAGCGUUGUUCGGAAUCACUGGGCGUAAAGGGCGCGUAGGCGGCGUCGCAAGUCGGCUGUGAAAGCCCGGGGCUCAACUCCGGAGGUGCAGCCGAGACUGCGGUGCUCGAGGCCGGAAGAGGAGGGUGGAAUACCCAGUGUAGAGGUGAAAUUCGUAGAUAUUGGGUGGAACACCGGUGGCGAAAGCGGCUCUCUGGUCCGGACCUGACGCUGAGGCGCGAAAGCGUGGGGAGCAAACAGGAUUAGAUACCCCGGUAGUCC
RNAcentral lists this ribosomal RNA (292 nucleotides) under uncultured bacterium. RNAcentral's name for it is "partial 16S ribosomal RNA". It matches the Rfam family "Bacterial small subunit ribosomal RNA", at positions 505 to 796 of the family's 1533-position model. The record is from RNAcentral.